This 611-nucleotide long non-coding RNA is filed under the name Dasypus novemcinctus (nine-banded armadillo). RNAcentral's name for it is "lncRNA (ENSDNOG00000050925.1)". Lineage: Eukaryota; Metazoa; Chordata; Mammalia; Cingulata; Dasypodidae. The record is from RNAcentral.
CCAGGAUUCAUAUUCAUUAUUGUCAUCUUCCAUGGAAGACACCAUGGAUCAGCUUCUCAAGCUUUGUUCAACUGCAGACUUGUUCUUUUGGAUCAGUGUACACAAGGACCACAUUUGAGCUUUGUGUGGGAUCAGCCAGAAAUCCUGCCUAUGAGAAUGGCCUCCUGUUGGCCGCUUGUGAGAUGGCACUGAGGACCACACGGGGGCACCAGAGCCUCAUCACCAACAAGGCAGUGCAUUUGAUUGGUGUCUCUGAAGCUCGGAGGAGCUAUGGACAGAAUCGGGGCCCACAGAUCUGGGCCGGGGUGGACUCUGCAUGGAGGUAGGCUCAGAAUAGUCUUGCACAGAUCAUCCUGAACCUCAAGAAGGCAUCAGAGUUAGUCCCAACACAAGUCCCGGACUGAACCCCAACCUUGUUUCAAAAUGGGAUCCAACUCUGUCUCAUGGCUCAGUCCCAGUUUGACGUCAGGCAGACCCUGAUCCUCUGGCCCUAAGUUGAACCCCAAUCGAUGUCUCUGUCUGAGCCCCAUCCCCAGUCACAUAUAGAUCCCAACCCUAUUCCACACUCAGAGGGAAAAACAGUGAUCAGAAUGCCUGUGGCUGUGGCCAGG